UUGGCAAACUAAACCACUGUGAACUGAGAGGGUACUUAGACUAAGUGAAGCACUGCAACACCGUGAAAUGCAAUCACGAAGCCACAAAUUUUACCUAGCACAGUGAGUUCAGCGAUCUCGCUCUCCCUCUCUCCCACCAUGUUAGUUCCAACGCAGAUGUAUUUCCCUGCAUCACUCUUCCUGGUGUUGGUGAUCAUCAGCUUGCCACUGCGAAUCUAAACAAAAGCAGAAAUAGGUCAGAGGUCAAGGAUCCCUACAGCGCUGUGUCCAUGAAGCAGGCAGGAGAUUCAGCGUCAUGCUAGACAGCACCUGGCUUGAUUCUGAGAUGUCUGACUCUUCUGCUGCUACCCAAAAGCAACGGAGAAGAAUGGAAUUUCAUUAGUGGUGCUCACAUUAAAAAAUGACACAAAAUGAGUGCAACAUGUCUUUCCAUACAAGUCGUCGCACUACCCUGCAUAAUCCACAAACUUGGAACUACUGGUAGCACUUUACAGUACAGCUUGCUAAUAACAUAGUAGCAGUUUGAUAAUAAAGUAGUAUAUGUGGGUAAUCUUAUACUGAAAUUUAUGUAGCAGGGUAAUAAGAGGCCAAAAACAAAGUGUAAUAAUGGGGAAACACAUUUAAAGUGGAACAAACGAGGCAAAACUAUUUAGUGAUAUAGUAUUUUAGUAAUAUGUUGGUAACAAUAUGAUACACUUCCAACAAUAUCAAUGGUUAUAUCAGUGCAAUAUCUGGAUUUAAAAAUUGUA
Long non-coding RNA from Micropterus dolomieu (smallmouth bass), 749 nucleotides. RefSeq lists it as uncharacterized. Lineage: Eukaryota; Metazoa; Chordata; Actinopteri; Centrarchiformes; Centrarchidae. The transcript has 3 exons. The record is from RefSeq and is a predicted model, not a curated record.